Molecule: long non-coding RNA, 910 nt
Organism: Bicyclus anynana (squinting bush brown)
Lineage: Eukaryota; Metazoa; Arthropoda; Insecta; Lepidoptera; Nymphalidae
Exons: 2
Source: RefSeq, a predicted model, not a curated record
AGUCAAACGUGGCAUCUUUACUUUCCACAAAUAACUUUACCCUAUCAUGUGCCUGUUCAAAUAAUAUUUAAUAUUUUUUAAUCUGUUACAGUUAGAAAAAUUUUAGACAUAUCUGUGGAUUUCGUAAUAAAUUGUGGUAUCACAUAAAGUUUUUCUAACUACCCACUUUGCUUAUUGUCAAAAUAUUGCGAUUUUUCGGUUCAUGUGGUCAAAUGUGGUUGCAGAGUUAUCGGAAAACAUUUCGUUUUUGAAAUAGAAAAUUAAAGUGCAGGUAUUCUCAUCAUGCCUCCGCAAAGAAGCCAAAAAGCAAGAAACAGAAGGUGUGAGAAGUUACAGAAACUACUCAGAGGACAUGCUGUUAUUGGCUGUGGAUUUAGUUAAAACCAAAAAGACAACCUUUUAUGACGCUGAAAAAGAAUUCGGCAUACCAAGACGUACAAUAGAAAAAAAAGAGUACAAAAUCUUCACAGCAAUAAACCCGAUCAGCGCUUUCGUUUAUCUCCGGAAGAAGAACUGAAAUUCGUAAAAGUACUCAUAGCAGCGGGUGACUUUGGGUGUCCACUAUCACAACUAGACUUAAAAUUAGCGGUUGAUGAGUAUUAAAAAAAAAACAUAGGUACAUAUUUAACGAUAAAGUUCUUGGUGACUGGUGGGUAAUAAAUUUUGCAGAGCGACACAAGGACCAAUUAACGUUAAGAUCUACCCAAAAUAUCACAAAAGCGCGUGCGGAAAAAACAUUAGAGGAGUUCAAAGAAUAUUUUAAAAAUCUAAAAAUAUCUCUUCAAAACCUGCCAGCAAAAAAUAUGUUAAACUAUGAUGAGACGAACUUGUCAGACGAUCCUGGUACUACUAAAUACAUUUUUCGCCGUGGAGAAAAAUAUCCAGAAAGAAUACUACAUACAUACAUACA